GUGCUCUUCAGGAGCUCAAAUACUAAAAUUAGAACACAGAAAAGAUUAGCGUGAUCCCUGAGCAAAGGAUGAUAUGAAAAUUUAUAUAUGAAACAGUUUGUAUCUUU
This is a small nuclear RNA of Acomys russatus (golden spiny mouse), 107 nucleotides long. The record is from RefSeq and is a predicted model, not a curated record. Lineage: Eukaryota; Metazoa; Chordata; Mammalia; Rodentia; Muridae.